AUGAAGAACGCAGCGAAAUGCGAUAAGUAAUGUGUAUUGCAGAAUUCAGUGAAUCAUCGAAUCUUUGAACGCACAUUGCGCCCCUUGGUAUUCCGAGGGGCAUGACUGUUCGAGCGUCAUUAUAACCCCUCAAGCUCAGCUUGGUGUUGGGGCCUGCUGCACUGGCAGCCCUUAAAAUCAGUGGCGGCGCCAUCUGGCUCUAAGCGUAGUAAUUCUUCUCGCUAUGGAGUCCUGGUGGAUGCUUGCCAUCAACCCCCAAUUUUUCUAUGGUUGACCUCGGAUCAGGUAGGGAUACCCGCUGAACUUAAGCAUAUCAAUAAGCGGAGGA
Molecule: unclassified non-coding RNA, 328 nt
Filed under: soil metagenome
Description: partial contains 5.8S ribosomal RNA, internal transcribed spacer 2, and large subunit ribosomal RNA
Rfam family: 5.8S ribosomal RNA (bases 1-119)
Source: RNAcentral